This 875-nucleotide long non-coding RNA is filed under the name Capsicum annuum. Its description in RNAcentral is "long non-coding RNA (CANN_LNC002512)". Lineage: Eukaryota; Viridiplantae; Streptophyta; Magnoliopsida; Solanales; Solanaceae. The record is from RNAcentral.
CCUUCCACAUUUCUUUUCCUAUCUCUCUCAUUCUCCCCCAACCAGUCACGUCACCACCGGUGAACCGACGCCGGUGGACCAUCCAACACCGGCGCCGCCUCCUUCGCUCUCUGCCCAGCCGCCUCCUUCUCUCUCUGCCCAGCCGCCUCUCUCUCUUUUUCUCUUUAAACCCGACAGCGCCACCGUCCUCAUCACCGACAAACCCACUGCCGAUGGGCACAAUCAGUCCGCCGUCGCGAACCACCCCACCGGUGAGCCAGCCAGCGACCCAACGGUCCUACACUCUUCCUUCUCCUCCGGGGAAUCCCAUUUUACCGCCGCUGCACAACAGCCAAAGCAGCCGCCAUAGCAGCCGCCUUUCACCAGCGACGCCAACCAGUCCGCCGAACCAACGAAAAUCAGCCUCAAAACCAGCUGCCGCCACCCUCCUCACCCUCACACUGCCGCUCCAAGUUUCGGUCAAAUAUCACCGGAAAAUAUUGAAGUUUACGAUGGAUUCUCCAAAUUCGUCUCAAAUUUGUUUCUCUAUUUAAAUUUAUGCCAAUUUAUUAUUAGAUAAAUUGAUUAAUAGAUUUGAAAUAGAUGAAAUUUGGCUAUGUCUUGACUCGAUUUGUUCUAUUUCGUGUUUAUUUGACACCGUUGAAUUUACAUAUGUGAAAGCCCUGAAUUCUAUCAACCUAACCAUAAUUCUUUUCUUCAUGAGUACUAAUUUUAUUCUAUUUUGAUAUUCAUGUUUCCUUGGACGUUAAUUGAAAUGGUUGUUCAUGUGCAAACUUUAUUUAUUAGGAUAUAGAAUGGCUACUUUUCUCGGCUCCAUUUGAUUCACGAUAGUUUUAAUGUGAUAAAAAUAAUUAUUUAUAGAUUCUUCUGCGGUA